RNAcentral lists this ribosomal RNA (878 nucleotides) under Thyronectria austroamericana. RNAcentral's name for it is "partial large subunit ribosomal RNA". It matches the Rfam family "Eukaryotic large subunit ribosomal RNA", at positions 73 to 980 of the family's 3401-position model. Lineage: Eukaryota; Fungi; Ascomycota; Sordariomycetes; Hypocreales; Nectriaceae. The record is from RNAcentral.
GAUUGCCCCAGUAACGGCGAGUGAAGCGGCAACAGCUCAAAUUUGAAAUCUGGCCCUCGCGGUCCGAGUUGUAAUUUGUAGAGGAUGCUUUUGGUGCGGUGCCUUCCGAGUUCCCUGGAACGGGACGCCAUAGAGGGUGAGAGCCCCGUCUGGUUGGAUGCCAAACCUCUGUAAAGCUCCUUCGACGAGUCGAGUAGUUUGGGAAUGCUGCUCAAAAUGGGAGGUAUAUGUCUUCUAAAGCUAAAUACCGGCCAGAGACCGAUAGCGCACAAGUAGAGUGAUCGAAAGAUGAAAAGCACUUUGAAAAGAGGGUUAAAUAGUACGUGAAAUUGUUGAAAGGGAAGCGUUUGUGACCAGACUUGGGCUCGGUGAAUCAUCCGGCGUUCUCGCCGGUGCACUUCGCCGGUCCAGGCCAGCAUCGGUUCGCUCGCGGGGGAUAAAGGCGUCGGGAAUGUGGCUCCUCGGAGUGUUAUAGCCCUUCGCACAAUACCCUGCGGUGGACCGAGGUUCGCGCAUCUGCAAGGAUGCUGGCGUAAUGGUCAUCAACGACCCGUCUUGAAACACGGACCAAGGAGUCGUCUUCGUAUGCGAGUGUUCGGGUGUCAAACCCCUACGCGUAAUGAAAGUGAACGGAGGUGAGAGCUACGGCGCAUCAUCGACCGAUCCUGAUGUUCUCGGAUGGAUUUGAGUAAGAGCAUACGGGGCCGGACCCGAAAGAAGGUGAACUAUGCCUGUAUAGGGUGAAGCCAGAGGAAACUCUGGUGGAGGCUCGCAGCGGUUCUGACGUGCAAAUCGAUCGUCAAAUAUGGGGCAUGGGGGCGAAAGACUAAUCGAACCUUCUAGUAGCUGGUUUCCGCCGAAGUUUUCCCCUCAGGGAA